AGACGGGUGAGUAACAUGUAGGUAUCUUCCCAUUGGUGAGGAAUAACACGAGGAAACUUGUGCUAAUACCUCAUAAGUCUUUACGGAGAAAGCUUUAUGCGCCGAUGGAUGAGCCUGCACUUGAUUAGUUUGUUGGUAGGGUAAUGGCCUACCAAGACAAUGAUCAAUAGCUGAUUUGAGAGGAUGAUCAGCCACAUUGGGACUGAGACACGGCCCAAACUCCUACGGGAGGCAGCAGUAGGGAAUCUUGCACAAUGGGGGAAACCCUGAUGCAGCGAUGCCGCGUGAGUGAAGAAGGCCUUUGGGUUGUAAAGCUCUUUCGUCGGGGAAGAAAAUGACUGUACCCGAAUAAG
Molecule: ribosomal RNA, 353 nt
Filed under: uncultured bacterium
Lineage: Bacteria
Description: bacterial SSU rRNA
Rfam family: Bacterial small subunit ribosomal RNA
Source: RNAcentral